CUAAAGACCAGGCUCUGGAUGAAGUUCAUAAACCUGAAUGUGCUGGUGAGUGCAUGAAAUCACACAAUCAACACAGUGGGUGAGAUCUGGCUGGAGUUUAAUAAAAGCUGCUUGAGUGCCAACAGGUGUUUCCUUUUCUAAAUCCCACUGGGGAGCUACCUGGCUCUCUUCCCUGAGGAGACACUGGUUAUCUGAGCUGAUUGACCUUUGCAGUUCGGAUUCUAGGAAGCAUUACAGACAAGAAGAAAAAAAAAGAAGAGUAAAAGACAUGUACACUGAGGAAUGCACUUGGGUGUUAUUUUGAGAAAGAGUAAAUGCUUACUCAGCUCUGUUGGCGUGGGAGUGGAUGGGCAGCAGGGUCUCAAGACAAGACCCCAUCAGCACAAAUUUUAAAGCCACAAGAAAUAACUGCCCAAGGAUCAAGAAUCGCUCUCCUCACCUUGCGCUAAGGACUGGAAUGUUUCCAUCUGAAGAAAAAAAGCGAGCCACGCCACUUCCUACAGAGGCAGAUAGCUAUGAGCACCAAGUGAUCUUUUCAGCACCUUUAUCUUUAGGAAAGACAGAGCAUCCAGCAUUUAUCUGGCUGUCCCUGUGCUCUUUUGCUUGACAUUUAGCAGCCUGGUGUGCUGAGAGACACACUUGAAGCCUACUGGUAUGCCACAGCUGGAUGUCUGCAGAACUUGUCAUCAAACAUGCAUCUCAUUAAAUUUCUGAUUUCAGUGCAAACACACAGUUUCACUGGAUUAUCUGAAACCUGAUCAUUUUCAGAAGCUUUUAGCUUGACUGGAGUGGUAACUUCAGGUGGAAGUAAUGAAAAAUUUGAAAGUUUUGCUUGGAUUCACCCCAGUUUGACCCCAAAAGCUCAAUUCUAAGCUGAAUCUUAAAGGGUUUAAGAUAAAGCACAGUAAUCUGAACUCAUGUGACAUUAGAGAUUUCCAAUAAUGGAAUAACAUUUGAAGCUUCAUCAUGUAUAUGUCACUGUAAUUCUGCUCUCCUCGUGUAGCUGCAGAUUGCUGUAUAACCAAAUAUAAACAUAUACAUUUUUCAGCAGUACUCGAUAAUGAAAUUCUGAACUGAUAGUUCACACCUGAAGAAACUUAUUAUCAAAUGACUGCAAUUCUGCCUUUUCAGAUUGACUAUUGGGACUGGCCCUUGCUAUAUUUUGCUCAGCCAGUUCAUCUUGUUGAUACAAAUCUGAUUUCACUCAGUGACACAUCCAUUGAUUAUGUACCCCUUGUACACAAGAGAGAAGAAAAAAAAUAUUCCCAUUUUGAGACUUUUCUCUACCUUUGUUGUAUCAAAUAGGUCUGUGUGUCAGGGUAUUCCAUGAAUAAAACCUUCACCCAGUGCCA
This 1352-nucleotide long non-coding RNA is filed under the name Cyanistes caeruleus (blue tit). Its description in RNAcentral is "lncRNA (ENSCCEG00000004112.1)". The record is from RNAcentral. Lineage: Eukaryota; Metazoa; Chordata; Aves; Passeriformes; Paridae.